AUUGAACGCUGGCGGCAGGCCUAACACAUGCAAGUCGAGCGGAGUGACGGACGGGUGAGUAAGGCCUAGGUAUAUGCCUGGUCGAGGGGGCUAGCGUCAGUUAACGGGAGCUAAUACCGCACACUUCCAGAUGUGACUAGGUCGGAUUAGCUAGUUGGUGGGGGAAAGGCCUACCAAGGCGACGAUCCGUAACAGGUCUGAGAGGCUGAUCAGUCACACUGGAACUGAGACACGGUCCAGACUCCUACGGGAGGCAGCAGUGGGGAAUAUUGCACAAUGGGCGAAAGCCUGAUGCAGCCAUGCCGCGUGUGUGAAGAAGGUCUUCGGAUUGUAAAGCACUUUAAGUUGGGAGGCGUUACCAACAGAGUAAGCACCGGCUAACUUCGUGCCAGCAGCCGCGGUAAUUC
This 407-nucleotide ribosomal RNA is filed under the name uncultured bacterium. Its description in RNAcentral is "partial 16S ribosomal RNA". It matches the Rfam family "Bacterial small subunit ribosomal RNA", at positions 30 to 526 of the family's 1533-position model. The record is from RNAcentral.